Molecule: long non-coding RNA, 412 nt
Filed under: Manihot esculenta (cassava)
Lineage: Eukaryota; Viridiplantae; Streptophyta; Magnoliopsida; Malpighiales; Euphorbiaceae
Description: long non-coding RNA (MESC_LNC004695)
Source: RNAcentral
UUUGUUUCUUUUUGUUUCUUUUUGUUUCUUUUUUGCAUUGUUCUUACCCCUUUUUUUUCACACACCAGAAUUUUUUUUCACACUUCUUGCACACACACACAGAAUUUUGUCUUAGCUAAUUGCUCUACUCAACAUAGAUAACAAGGUUAAAAGAGCUUCCUUAUAUCAUGACCCCAUUGAUUUGCCACCCCUUUAAGCCUAAAUUGAAUCAUUUACAGUAUGUUACCUUCACUUAGGGAGUUUUUUCUCUUGAACUGAAUCCUUAAAUUUGCUAUGGUCAAGGGAAAUAAAAAUACAAAUACAUGCAAACAAAAAGUUAGUGUAACUCCCUAUGAGCUGAUUUGCCCAAACUAUCAUGAAAAACCAGCACAAAGCACCAAUCAUAAACCUGUUCCAAUGGUCUAAGACUAUG